RNAcentral lists this transfer RNA (73 nucleotides) under Daphnia pulex (common water flea). It matches the Rfam family "tRNA". Rfam says of the family: Transfer RNA (tRNA) molecules are approximately 80 nucleotides in length. Their secondary structure includes four short double-helical elements and three loops (D, anti-codon, and T loops). Lineage: Eukaryota; Metazoa; Arthropoda; Branchiopoda; Diplostraca; Daphniidae. The record is from Rfam by way of RNAcentral.
GCCUGGCUAGCUCAGUCGGUAGAGCAUGAUACUUUUAAUCCCAGGAUCAGGGGUUCGAGCCCCGCGUUUGGCG